RNAcentral lists this unclassified non-coding RNA (379 nucleotides) under soil metagenome. RNAcentral's name for it is "partial contains 5.8S ribosomal RNA, internal transcribed spacer 2, and large subunit ribosomal RNA". The stretch from base 1 to 120 matches the Rfam family "5.8S ribosomal RNA", at positions 35 to 154 of the family's 154-position model. The record is from RNAcentral.
GAUGAAGAACGUAGCGAAAUGCGAUAAGUAAUGUGAAUUGCAGAAUUCAGUGAAUCAUCGAAUCUUUGAACGCACAUUGCGCCCGCCAGUAUUCUGGCGGGCAUGCCUGUUCGAGCGUCAUUUCAACCCUCAAGCCCCAGCGGCCUGGUGUUGGGGACCGGCGACCUCGCCCGAGCCCGCCCUCCGGGGCGCGUGCCCGGUGCGUCCGCCGCCCCCGAAAUGAAUUGGCGGCCUCGUCGCGGCCUCCUCUGCGUAGUAGCACAACCUCGCAAGCGGGAGCGCGACGCGGCCACUGCCGUAAAACGCCCAACUUUUUUAGAGUUGACCUCAGAUCAGGUAGGAAUACCCGCUGAACUUAAGCAUAUCAAUAAGCGGAGGA